CCGAGUUUUACAACUCCCAAACCCCUGUGAACAUACCACUUGUUGCCUCGGCGGAUCAGCCCGCUCCCGGUAAAAACGGGACGGCCCGCCAGAGGACCCCUAAACUCUGUUUCUAUAUGUAACUUCUGAGUAAAACCAUAAAUAAAUCA
This 149-nucleotide unclassified non-coding RNA is filed under the name soil metagenome. RNAcentral's name for it is "partial internal transcribed spacer 1". The record is from RNAcentral.